GACGAACGCUGGCGGCGUGCUUAACACAUGCAAGUCGAACGGAAAGGCCCUUCGGGGUACUCGAGUGGCGAACGGGUGAGUAACACGUGGGUGAUCUGCCCUGCACUUUGGGAUAAGCCUGGGAAACUGGGUCUAAUACCGAAUAGGACCACGCGCUUCAUGGUGUGUGGUGGAAAGCUUUUGCGGUGUGGGAUGGGCCCGCGGCCUAUCAGCUUGUUGGUGGGGUAAUGGCCUACCAAGGCGACGACGGGUAGCCGGCCUGAGAGGGUGACCGGCCACACUGGGACUGAGAUACGGCCCAGACUCCUACGGGAGGCAGCAGUGGGGAAUAUUGCACAAUGGGCGCAAGCCUGAUGCAGCGACGCCGCGUGAGGGAUGACGGCCUUCGGGUUGUAAACCUCUUUCAAUAGGGACGAAGCGCAAGUGACGGUACCUAUAGAAGAAGCACCGGCCAACUACGUGCCAGCAGCCGCGGUAAUACGUAGGGUGCGAGCGUUGUCCGGAAUUACUGGGCGUAAAGAGCUCGUAGGUGGUUUGUCGCGUUGUUCGUGAAAACUCACAGCUUAACUGUGGGCGUGCGGGCGAUACGGGCAGACUAGAGUACUGCAGGGGAGACUGGAAUUCCUGGUGUAGCGGUGGAAUGCGCAGAUAUCAGGAGGAACACCGGUGGCGAAGGCGGGUCUCUGGGCAGUAACUGACGCUGAGGAGCGAAAGCGUGGGGAGCGAACAGGAUUAGAUACCCUGGUAGUCCACGCCGUAAACGGUGGGUACUAGGUGUGGGUUCCUUCCUUGGGAUCCGUGCCGUAGCUAACGCAUUAAGUACCCCGCCUGGGGAGUACGGCCGCAAGGCUAAAACUCAAAGGAAUUGACGGGGGCCCGCACAAGCGGCGGAGCAUGUGGAUUAAUUCGAUGCAACGCGAAGAACCUUACCUGGGUUUGACAUGCACAGGACGCCGGCAGAGAUGUCGGUUCCCUUGUGGCCUGUGUGCAGGUGGUGCAUGGCUGUCGUCAGCUCGUGUCGUGAGAUGUUGGGUUAAGUCCCGCAACGAGCGCAACCCUUGUCCUAUGUUGCCAGCGGGUUAUGCCGGGGACUCGUAGGAGACUGCCGGGGUCAACUCGGAGGAAGGUGGGGAUGACGUCAAGUCAUCAUGCCCCUUAUGUCCAGGGCUUCACACAUGCUACAAUGGCCGGUACAAAGGGCUGCGAUGCCGUGAGGUGGAGCGAAUCCUUUCAAAGCCGGUCUCAGUUCGGAUCGGGGUCUGCAACUCGACCCCGUGAAGUCGGAGUCGCUAGUAAUCGCAGAUCAGCAACGCUGCGGUGAAUACGUUCCCGGGGCCU
This 1338-nucleotide ribosomal RNA is filed under the name uncultured bacterium. RNAcentral's name for it is "bacterial SSU rRNA". It matches the Rfam family "Bacterial small subunit ribosomal RNA", at positions 28 to 1382 of the family's 1533-position model. The record is from RNAcentral.